GUCCACGCCGUAAACGAUGGGUACUAGGUUUGGUGGGUCUUGACCCCUGCCGAGCCGGCGCUAACGCAAUAAGUACCCCGCCUGGGGAGUACGGUCGCAAGACUAAAACUCAAAGGAAUUGACGGGGGCCCGCACAAGCGGUGGAUCAUGUGGUUUAAUUCGAAGCAACGCGCAAGACCUUACCUAGGCUUGACAUCCCCGGACAGCUUUAGAAAUAAAGUCUUUGUAGUAAUACAACCGGGU
This 243-nucleotide ribosomal RNA is filed under the name uncultured bacterium. Its description in RNAcentral is "partial 16S ribosomal RNA". It matches the Rfam family "Bacterial small subunit ribosomal RNA", at positions 793 to 1032 of the family's 1533-position model. The record is from RNAcentral.